Molecule: ribosomal RNA, 660 nt
Filed under: Digenea sp. furcocercous cercaria
Lineage: Eukaryota; Metazoa; Platyhelminthes; Trematoda
Description: partial large subunit ribosomal RNA
Source: RNAcentral
AGCUGAUGAGUAUGGCAUGAGCUUGGGCAUAUUGGUCGGCUUUCAGAGUUCGCUUAGUUGCGAGUCCUUUCCCUACCGGGUUUGGAUGUGCGUUGCGCUCAUUAGGCGCUGUGCGCUCUGUCUGUUCCGGGCCUGCUCGUCAGUGCACUUCCUCAGGGUGUUCACCACGACCGGCGCUGCUGUCUGUCUGUUGCGGUCAAACCGGUUAGGCUUAGUCAUUUUGGCUAGGUCUGGUCGGGAUGGCAGGUGGCUCUUGAGUUCUUCUGGCUUCGGCUGGUUUGAGCUUUUGAGUGUAAUUAGCCGACUGUGACGGAUCUGUGCAGUGCGUCGGGGCUGGCGGCUUUGGUGUGUGUACGCGUGCUGUAGCUUACUGGCUUAGUCAGGUCUGGUUGGUGUGUUACCUGCUUUGGUGGGUCUGCCAAUGUCUUGGCUUUGCGUGGUGGGUGGUGGCGCGUGCGAUACUAGCUAGGGCCAAAAGUCUGGGGUGUUGUGGUAAACGAUCCACCCGACCCGUCUUGAAACACGGACCAAGGAGUUUAACAUGUACGCGAGUCAUUGGGCGUUACGAAACCCAAAGGCGCAGUGAAAGUAAAGGUUCGGCUUGUCCGAGCUGAGGUGAGAUCCUGCUGUUCCUCUGCCUUGGACUACCAAGCAAUCGAG